UGGGGAAUAUUGGACAAUGGGCGAAAGCCUGAUCCAGCCAUGCCGCGUGUGUGAAGAAGGUCUUCGGAUUGUAAAGCACUUUAAGUUGGGAGGAAGGGCAGUAAGCGAAUACCUUGCUGUUUUGACGUUACCGACAGAAUAAGCACCGGCUAGCUCUGUGCCAGCAGCCGCGGUAAUACAGAGGGUGCAAGCGUUAAUCGGAAUUACUGGGCGUAAAGCGCGCGUAGGUGGUUCGUUAAGUUGAAUGUGAAAGCCCCGGGCACAACCUGGGAACUGCAUCCAAAACUGGCGAGCUAGAGUAGGGCAGAGGGUGGUGAAAUUUCCUGUGUAGCGGUGAAAUGCGUAGAUAUAGGAAGGAACACCAGUGGAGAAGGCGACCCCCUGGGCUCAUACUGACACUGAGGUGCGAAAGCGUGGGGAGCAAACAGG
Molecule: ribosomal RNA, 429 nt
Filed under: Pseudomonadota bacterium
Lineage: Bacteria; Pseudomonadati; Pseudomonadota
Description: Proteobacteria bacterium partial 16S ribosomal RNA
Rfam family: Bacterial small subunit ribosomal RNA
Source: RNAcentral